GCUGUAGCUUAGUGGCAGAGUUCUUGCCUAGCAUGCAUGAGAAGUUGGGUUCAAUCCCCAGCACAUGCA
This 69-nucleotide transfer RNA is filed under the name Dipodomys ordii (Ord's kangaroo rat). It matches the Rfam family "tRNA". Rfam says of the family: Transfer RNA (tRNA) molecules are approximately 80 nucleotides in length. Their secondary structure includes four short double-helical elements and three loops (D, anti-codon, and T loops). Lineage: Eukaryota; Metazoa; Chordata; Mammalia; Rodentia; Heteromyidae. The record is from Rfam by way of RNAcentral.